CCGUGUGAUACUGUGAUGGUAAGAGAGAACUGCAUUAGAGCUCCAAAGUUAAUACAACUAGCUUAUAACUCUAUGCGGCACAUGGAUUAUAAUUUUUUUAAAAUAUAAAAUAUUUUAUAUUAUUUAUUUAUUUUAUAUAUAUUUUAAAAAUAAAUAUUAUAAUAAAAAUUAUAUUUAUGUAUAAUAUAGAUUAUAAGUUAUCUUGUGAAGACCGACGGCUCUGAUUUC
This 228-nucleotide long non-coding RNA is filed under the name Elaeis guineensis (African oil palm). RNAcentral describes it as "long non-coding RNA (EGUI_LNC022478)". Lineage: Eukaryota; Viridiplantae; Streptophyta; Magnoliopsida; Arecales; Arecaceae. The record is from RNAcentral.